Molecule: ribosomal RNA, 253 nt
Filed under: uncultured bacterium
Lineage: Bacteria
Description: partial 16S ribosomal RNA
Rfam family: Bacterial small subunit ribosomal RNA
Source: RNAcentral
GACAGAGGGUGCAAACGUUGUUCGGAAUUACUGGGCAUAAAGAGCACGUAGGUGGUGCGCUAAGUCACGUGUGAAAUCCCCCGGCUCAACCGGGGAAUGGCGCGUGAUACUGGCGGACUCGAGGCGGGUAGGGGUGAGCGGAGCUCCAGGUGGAGCGGUGAAAUGCGCAGAUAUCAGGAAGAACACCCGUGGCGAAGGCGGCUCUCUGGAACGCAACUGACGCUGAGACGCGAAAGCGUGGGGAGCAAACAGG